CCUACGGGGACGCUGUGGAACGGAGCCGGGGAACCACGUUCCUCGGGGUGAAUCGGCGCCAGGUCGGCCGGACGUCGUGAGACGCCGGGCCGGUGAGGCGUCGUAGGGCAUCUCUUCCAGCCCGAACCCGUCAGCUCACCCGGUAGGCGGCCGUAGGAAGAAGGA
Molecule: small RNA, 165 nt
Filed under: Streptomyces sp.
Lineage: Bacteria; Bacillati; Actinomycetota; Actinomycetes; Kitasatosporales; Streptomycetaceae
Description: c-di-AMP sequence
Rfam family: c-di-AMP riboswitch aptamer (ydaO/yuaA leader)
About the family: This family represents a conserved RNA structure found upstream of the ydaO and yuaA genes in Bacillus subtilis and related genes in other bacteria. The ydaO/yuaA element is thought to act as a genetic "off" switch for the ydaO and yuaA genes in its native state. It is believed that the element may be triggered during osmotic shock leading to activation of ydaO, a predicted amino acid transporter gene, and members of the yuaA-yubG operon which code for KtrA and KtrB K+ transporters.
Source: RNAcentral